UACACCAAUCUUUUUGUGAAAUAGAUCCGUCUAGUAUUAGCACUAAAGAAAUGUUUCCAACGGCAUAAUCUGGGUUUGAGUCACAGUAGAUACCAAGCUGUGAUUAAAUGUCAAGACGCAAAUGACUGUCGAACAGAAUGUAUCCUGGCAAUUCGAGCAUGACGUCUUGAAAUGGUAUCUGAUCCGUUGGUCCUCGAUGAUACUAGAGUGGUGUAUUCAUCCAUUGGAUUCGUUCAUAUGGUGGAGAGGAGGCCACCUAUUUACUCAAACUCAGCUCUGAAUCGAACAUUCUCCAAUAAAAAUUGAGGCCCUAUGGUCACGUCGAGAAGAGAUAGAUGCACCCUAUAGUCUGCAUUCGGGAUCAUUGCCCUUCAACGGUCCC
This 382-nucleotide long non-coding RNA is filed under the name Elaeis guineensis (African oil palm). RNAcentral's name for it is "long non-coding RNA (EGUI_LNC028884)". The record is from RNAcentral. Lineage: Eukaryota; Viridiplantae; Streptophyta; Magnoliopsida; Arecales; Arecaceae.